Molecule: small RNA, 1703 nt
Filed under: Pan troglodytes (chimpanzee)
Lineage: Eukaryota; Metazoa; Chordata; Mammalia; Primates; Hominidae
Description: processed transcript
Source: RNAcentral
AGAGCAGCUACUCAUGUUGGACAAUUCAGGUCUCUUCUGGAAACUGGCCUUGUAUUUGGAAUUUUCUCCAGAGUCUGAUGUGAUCACAUGCAGGCUAUUAAGAAAUGUGAACUAACAAAUUAAGUUAAAGUAGCAGGAUGGGCGCUGUGGCUCACACCUAUAAUCCCAGCACUUUGGGAAGCUGAGGCAUGUGGAUCACUUGAGGUCAGGAGUUUGAGAGCAGCCUGGCCAACAAGCUAAGAAAUCUUCAGAACAAACUUUUCAUAAAAGAAACUUCACUGCAAGAGUUGAAGCCUGAGCUAGAAAGUUACAAAGAAAAUAAUGUACAACAGUCGUUCCAGAUAAUGUCCCUGAAAGAUAAUAUCAAGGACCUACAGGAACUUACUGCUUCUCUAACCAGAAUUAAAUAUUUGAGAAACACCAAUAUUCAGAGGCUUCAAAGAGGCAACUGGGAUUUAACUAAAUGAAUUAUUGAGCUAGAAACUGUCUAAGAGUACGAGUACAUCUGGUUGAAAAAGAAAAGGCAGAGAGAAAAGCAGACUUUUUGGAGUUGUUGUUCUCAGGCACUAACAGAUUCAUCCCUUAUAUGCAUAUGAAUGGACAAUAAGAUUUCUUGGAUAUUUUCAUGGCAAAGGGUAAGAGCGAAGCUAUCCUGGACAAGAACUUUGACAGGACAAUACUAUUCACUCUGAAGGACCAAAAAAUGAGCAGAAAAUUUGGGAUAAAUGUCAACAAGAUUUGAACCCUAAAGAAAAGCAAGCAUCGAGUUAGACAGACGUCCAUAUUCAUUCAACUGGGAAAAUAAAACUGUGCAGUCCCAACAUCAGAAUUUCCUUGGUCAGUUGGUUAUUGCGGGACAGCAUUCUUCUGCAUGACAGUAUUGUCUCCUUACCAGCCACAGAGGAGGCUGUGAGAGAGAGGAUUUGGGAAAUUGGUGCAAAUGAGAAAUCUUGGAAAUCUAGAAUUAAGCCUUUCAGCAGGAAAUCCAGAUGCUCACUAAGUGACUAGAGCAGCUGCAUCAUCUUUAAGAAGAAGGUGCUCAAGAAUCAUCCCAAGCUGAAGAAAAAAGUAUUGGGAACAAAAAAGACCCUUGAAAUGUCUAGAAAGAAAAAUUGAGAUCAAGGACUUUUUCAAGAGAGAUUAGACUUGGACAGGAAGAAAAUGGAGUCUCACUCUGUCACCCAGGUUGGAGUGCAAUGGUGUGAUCUCGGCUCACUGCAACCUCUGCCUCCCGGGUUCAAGCGAUUUUCCUGCCUCAGCCUCCCAAGUAGCUGGGAUUACAGAAUUUGCAGAUUGCUACUACGCAAAGAUUGGAGGAGAAAAUUCAGAAACUUCAGAAACAGCUCAGUGAUUUGAAAUUGUCAAAUAAAAAUAUGAAAACUCAGCUGACAAGAGUAAAUGUCCUUAAAGACAAAACAAUUGAAGAGCUCAGGCAAUCUUUAGCAAAUGUUGAAACGAUGAAAGAGAAGGCAAAUGUUGAAACGAUGAAAGAGAAGGCAGUUGUGAAAACAGAAAACUUGAAAACUACAUUAGACUCUGCAGAGCAAAAGGCAAGAUCAGACAAAGAGAAGACCCAGCAGAUGUUAGAUGCUGUCACUUCUGAGCCCCCAAUAGCAAAGAGCACACCUGAAGAAGUAUCAGGACAAGAACAAGAGGUUUUUUCAAAAUAGUAAAAUUAAAAUUAAUUUAGUUGAAGUGAUAAA